RNAcentral lists this small RNA (942 nucleotides) under Acholeplasma hippikon. RNAcentral describes it as "bacterial LSU rRNA". The stretch from base 493 to 942 matches the Rfam family "Bacterial large subunit ribosomal RNA", at positions 1 to 497 of the family's 2925-position model. The record is from RNAcentral. Lineage: Bacteria; Bacillati; Mycoplasmatota; Mollicutes; Acholeplasmatales; Acholeplasmataceae.
CGCCCGUCAAACCACGAAAGUGAACAAUACCCAAAGCCGGUGGCCUAACCCGAAAGGGAGGGAGCCGUCUAAGGUAGGGUUCAUGAUUGGGGUUAAGUCGUAACAAGGUAUCCCUACGGGAACGUGGGGAUGGAUCACCUCCUUUCUAAGGAGAAAGGCUUACUAAUAAUAAGCAAAAAUAGCUUAGUAGCAUAAGCUAAACAAUUUCUUCAUGUUCAUCAUAUUCAGUUUUGAGAGACUUAUGUUUCUCCAAUUAAACAGUGGGGCCUGUAGCUCAGUUGGUUAGAGCACACGCUUGAUAAGCGUGGGGUCGAUGGUUCAAGUCCAUUUAGGCCCACCAUUAAAAAAUUAGGGGCUUUAGCUCAGCUGGGAGAGCGCCUGCCUUGCACGCAGGAGGCCAGCGGUUCGAUCCCACUAAGCUCCACCAAUUAGGCUAAAUACCUAAUGAGAUCUUUGAAAAGUAGAUAAAUGAUGUCAGAAAUGAUUAAAAAAGGUUAAGGAAGAAAGGGCAUGCAGUGGAUGCCUUGGCACCAAGAGGCGAUGAAGGACGGAACUAACACCGAAAUGCCGGGAGUAGCUGUAAGUAAGCGACGAUCCCCGGAUGUCCGAAUGGGGGAACCCACCAUGUGGAAGACAUGGUACAGUCGUAAGACUGAGCGACACGCAGGGAAUUGAAAUAUCUCACGUACCUGCAGGAAAAGAAAGUAAAAACGAUUCUGUCAGUAGCGACGAGCGAACGCGGAGGAGCCAGAUAACUAAGGUUACAAAAUCAUAUCAUAGGUGAACGACUUGGGAAGGUCGGGCAUAGAGGGUGAUACCCCCGUAAUCGAAAUGGUAUGAUCCAUGUUAUCAAAAAGUAGGGCGGGACACGAGAAAUCCCGUUUGAAGAUAGGGGGACCAUCUCCUAAGGCUAAAUACUACUUGGUGACCGAUAGUGAACCA